CGAAAGCCUGACGGAGCAAUACCGCGUGAGGGAGGAAGGCUUUUGGGUUGUAAACCUCUUUUCUCAAGGAAGAAAAAAAUGACGGUACUUGAGGAAUCAGCAUCGGCUAACUCCGUGCCAGCAGCCGCGGUAAUACGGAGGAUGCAAGCGUUAUCCGGAAUUAUUGGGCGUAAAGCGUCCGCAGGUGGCAGUUCAAGUCUGCUGUUAAAGACAGAAGCUCAACUUCUGGUCAGCGGUGGAAACUGGACAGCUAGAGUACGGUAGGGGUUGAGGGAAUUCCCAGUGUAGCGGUGAAAUGCGUAGAGAUUGGGAAGAACACCAGUGGCGAAGGCGCUCUACUGGGCUAAAACUGACACUGAGAGACGAAAGCUAGGGUAGCG
Molecule: ribosomal RNA, 380 nt
Filed under: uncultured cyanobacterium
Lineage: Bacteria; Bacillati; Cyanobacteriota
Description: bacterial SSU rRNA
Rfam family: Bacterial small subunit ribosomal RNA
Source: RNAcentral